Molecule: long non-coding RNA, 3131 nt
Organism: Gorilla gorilla gorilla (western lowland gorilla)
Lineage: Eukaryota; Metazoa; Chordata; Mammalia; Primates; Hominidae
Exons: 10
Source: RefSeq, a predicted model, not a curated record
CGCGCGGUCGUUUGGGCUCGGCGGCCGUAGAAGCCGGGCGCACUGGGCCGGAGCUGCCCCGCCGGGGUUGGGUCGUGGCUGCCAGGGCGCGUCGCCAGGAGGCCUCGCGGGCCGCCCUUCCGCUCUCCCGGGGCUGGGCGGCGCUGUCCGGCUCUUCCUGCCGCGCUCUGGCCACUCCCCCACGCCCCUCGCUCGGCUUGGCCUUGGCGGCCGGCCGUGCUCUGCAGGCAGUGCCUCCCUCGGGCGUGGGUCUGCAGGAGAGCCGGACAGGGCAGCGGCCGGCGCUACCGCGCCGCGAUUUGCGCAGAGCUGAAGAAGCCCCUGACCAUUGAAGAGGUGGCCCCCGCCCCGUCGGGCCUCACGAGGUCAGAGUUGAUGUCCAUUUCUGUGGAGUUAACUUUGGUGAUAUUUUGAUCUGCCGUGAUCAAUAUCAGGAAAGGCCCCAUCUUCCCUUCAUACCUGAUCCUGAACAUGUGGACAAGUGACUGAUUUUUGUUGUUGAAAUUUAUUUAAAGGGAUGAAUGGAGUUUUCUGGGACAGUAUUGGAGACAGGCACAGAUGUCAGGACAGUUAAAGAGGGAGAUAGAGUUAUUGGCACAAGAAACUUUAAUUGUAUGGCUGAAGAAUGCGUCACUGACCAGAAGGACCUGUGGCAGAUUCCAGAAAAGGUCUCCCUAUAAGAAGCUGCUGUCCUCCCUAUAACUUAUGGCACUGUGAUUUUUGCUCUUGAGGAUUGGGCCCGUACCCAGCCUGGGUAAUAUAGUUGCUGCUGGAAGUGACGAGAAGUGCAAGCUGGCGAUGCAGAGGGGUGCGCAGUCCAGCGUGAACUACAGUCAGGGCAGCCUGAAGGAUGCAGUGAGGAAGCUGCCUGGCAUGGGAGGGCAGGAUUGUGGUGGUGGGAUUUGCUGGAGGAAACAUUGCUUCUGAACCAGCCAACCUUCUGCUCCUGAAGAAUAUCUCUGCUAUGGGCCUGUACUGUGGUCAAUACAAAGAUAUGAACUUUCACGUCUUCUCCAAGAGCCUAUCUUCAGUGCUUCAGUACUGCCAGCAAGGGUGCAUCCAGCCAUAUGUCAGAAUGGUUUUCAAGCUGGAUGAGGUCAAUGAUGUCUUCCUUCAUGUGAUACAGGGGAAAUCCGUGGGCAAGGUGCUUCUCGCUCUUAAAUAAAUCCUUGCCUGAGCAGCAGAGUUAACAUGUCCAGAUCAAAACUCCACAUCUUUCCCCAAAACCUGAUUUCCCUUCUGUGUUUCCAAAGGUGUUACCACUUUCCUUACUAAUCCAGGUUUAAAAUCUUGGAGUCACCUUUGAAUAUGUUUACUAAUUGCUCCUAAUUAAUAUGAUUAUAUAGUUUAUUGUCCAAACCUUUUUGAGAGUAAAAGGGUGCCAUUAGUAAUUACAUCAGGAAAACAUAUCCCAGGCAAACCAGAAUAUAUGGUCAGCCUACUUGAUGCAUUAUGAAAUGCAGUGAUUGCCGAGUUCUGUCAUUCUCACCUCUAAGAUAUCUCUCAUGUCCAUAUCCUCUUUUCCAUUCUGACUAAUUAAGCCUCAACUGCUAUCACCAGUGACCUUCUAACUGCUUUUCCUACCUUUAAGCUAUUCUCACCCCCUCCAUCCUUGUGAUGCAUUAUUGCCAUGGUGAUCUUCCCGAAGCAUAGCUCUGACUAUGGCCCAUCAUAGCUCUGACUAUGGCCCAUCUCAGAAAACCUACAGUGGCUUACCAUUGCCUGAUGGUGGAGUUCAGAGCCCUUGAGCUAGCAUUUCAUUAUGACCGUGAUUUUUCCCCGCACCACUUUCCAGCCUUGUGGUCCACAAUUCCACUGGGCCUUAAGUAUGUACUGAACUUUCCUGCCUCCCUCAUUUUGCUCUGCUUGUGCAAUUUUUUCCACCCUCCAUCUCUGUCAAACGUAAGCCUUCCUGACCUCUAAGACCUACCUUUGUCAUGUACCUUUACCCUCAGGCAAGGAGCAAUCUCUUCUCUUCCUCUUCUACCUUGCUGUAGCUUCUCCCCAAGGAUUUAUCAAAUUCUGCCUUGAAUCAUAGGGAACAGCAUGUGUAGUGGAAUGAACACAGGCCUCUGAAUCCAAGAUAUGAGUUUAAAUCCCAGCUUUGGAGGUGGUUACUUAAGGUCUCAGUGCCUUCAUUCUUCUUCCUAUAUAAAGUAGAUAUUACAAUAUCUAACUUACAGAGUCAUUGGGAGCUAUACAUGCAGCGAUUGGGUAAAGCACCUGGCACAUGGCAAGCGAUUAGCAAAUGCUGGUUACUUCUACUUCUUUCUCUUCCCUUUUCUCAGUCUAUCAUAAUUUCCUUGAGAGCAGGCACCAUGUCUUACUUACCCUUGUAUUUCCCACAGUGCUUCCCAUAGUGAGUUACCCUUAGUAAAUACUCAGUAAGUUGAAUUGAAUUUAAAUUACCCGUAAGUCUUAAAAUGUGGGAUUAAAUUAAGAAUAUAUUGUCCUGGAAAUACCCAAAUGUCUAUCGAUGGAUGAAUGGAUAAACAAAAUGUGGUAUACACAUAAUGGAAUAUUAUUCAGCCUUAAAAAGGAAUGAAAUUCUGACAUGUGUUACAAUAUGAUGAACCUGGAAGACAUUAUAUGUGAAAUAAGCCAGACAGAAAAGGACAAAUACUAUAUGAUUCCACUUAUAUGAAGUACCUAGAGUAGUGAAAUUCAUAGAAACAGAAAGUACAGGUUGACAUCCAAAAUCUGAAAUGAGAAAUGCUCCAAAAACUGAAACUUUUUCAAUGCCGACACGAUGCUCAAAGAAAAUGCUAAUUGGAGCAUUUCAGAUUUUGGAUUUUUGGAUUUGGGAUGCUGAACUGGCAUAAUGUGAAUAUUCCAAACUCUGAAAAAAUCUGAAGUCUAAAACACUUCUGGUCUCAAGAAUUUUGGAAAAGGAUACUCAAUGUGCAACAUGUAGAAUGGUGGUUGCAAGGUGGGAGGAGAGAAUGGAGAGUUACUGUUUAAUGGUACAAUGUUUCCGUUUGGGCAGAUGGAAAGUUUUGGAGAUGUGUGAUGGUUAUGGUUGCCCAACAAUGGGAAGGUACUUAGUACUGCUUAACUGUGCACACUUAAAAAUGGUAAAAAUGAUAAAUUUUGUGUAUAUCUUAAAACAAUAAAAGAAGUUUUUAAAAAAA